UACAUGUUAAUGUAAAAGCAUAAAAGAUUUUGAUUCUUUCAGUUUUGGUGUAAAUUUAUUUAUACUAUUA
Molecule: transfer RNA, 70 nt
Filed under: Daphnia magna
Lineage: Eukaryota; Metazoa; Arthropoda; Branchiopoda; Diplostraca; Daphniidae
Description: tRNA-Gln
Source: RNAcentral